Molecule: non-coding RNA, 393 nt
Organism: Merops nubicus (carmine bee-eater)
Lineage: Eukaryota; Metazoa; Chordata; Aves; Coraciiformes; Meropidae
Source: the annotation of a RefSeq genome assembly
GUGCCCUUUCUGAAGUGCAAAUGGAGGUCUCUGGCCCCACAGGAGGAAAGGUCUCAGAGUCUCUCACUCUCACCUGCCACAUCUCUGGUGUACCCAUCAGCGACAGCAGCUACGCUUGGGACUGGGUCCGUCAGACUCCUGGCAGUGGCCUGCAGCAUAUAGCGUUGCAGUAUCCUUUCACGGGACUCCAGCACAUUGCUUCGUCCUUCCAGAUGCAAGUCACCAGCUCUGCAGACCCUUCAAGGAACCAACUGUUGCUGGAAGUGCUCUCCCCAUCAGCUGCAGACAUGGCCACCUAUUUCUGCAGCAGCAGAGAGCUGGAAAAGGGCACAGUGCUUGAAACGCAGGCAGGGCCAGGGCAGAAAAGGAAGGACAAGUUUUACAUCCAGUCAG